CGGGCGUCUUAACAUGCAAGUCGAACGAUUAAAGCACCUUCGGGUGUGUAUAAAGUGGCGAACGGCUGAGUAACACGUGGGCAACCUGCCCCUUUCAUUGGGAUAGCCACGGGAAACCGUGGAUAAUACCGAAUACUUCGAGACUUCCGCAUGGAAGACUCGAGAAAGCUCCGGCGGAGAGGGAUGGGCCCGCGGCCUGUUAGCUUGUUGGUGGGGUAACGGCCUACCAAGGCAAUGAUGGGUAGCUGGGUUGAGAGACCGACCAGCCAGAUUGGGACUGAGACACGGCCCAGACUCCUACGGGAGGCAGCAGUGGGGAAUCUUGCACAAUGGGCGAAAGCCUGAUGCAGCGACGCCGCGUGCGGGAUGAAGGCCUUCGGGUUGUAAACCGCUUUCAGCAGGGACGAGGCGAAAGUGACGGUACCUGCAGAAGAAGCCCGGCUAAU
Molecule: ribosomal RNA, 446 nt
Filed under: Lancefieldella parvula
Lineage: Bacteria; Bacillati; Actinomycetota; Coriobacteriia; Coriobacteriales; Atopobiaceae
Description: bacterial SSU rRNA
Rfam family: Bacterial small subunit ribosomal RNA
Source: RNAcentral